This 381-nucleotide unclassified non-coding RNA is filed under the name uncultured bacterium. Its description in RNAcentral is "contains 16S-23S intergenic spacer region". The record is from RNAcentral.
UCCUGGUUUCCCAGGCAGUCUCGCCAGAGUGCUCCAAUAAAUGGGUGGCAACUGGCAACAGGAGUUGCGCUCGUUAAAGGACUUAACCUAACAUCUCACGACACGAGCUGACGACAGCCAUGCAGCACCUGUGCACGCGCUUAGGGUUUCCCCCAAGAGGUCGUGUUUCUACGAAUGUCAUGUGCAUGUCAAGCCCAGGUAAGGUUUCUCGCGUAGUAUCGAAUUAAACCACAUGUUCCACCGCUUGUGCGGAUCCCCGUCAAUUUCUUUGAGUUUUAAUCUUGCGACCGUACUCCCCAGGUGGACCACUUAUCGCGUUAGCUGCGACACCCAAGCAAAAUGCUCAGACGUCUAGUGGUCAUCGUUUACUGCAUGGACUAC